RNAcentral lists this ribosomal RNA (506 nucleotides) under uncultured bacterium. RNAcentral describes it as "bacterial SSU rRNA". It matches the Rfam family "Bacterial small subunit ribosomal RNA", at positions 17 to 518 of the family's 1533-position model. The record is from RNAcentral.
UUCUGGCUCAGGAUGAACGCUGGCGGCGUGCCUAACACAUGCAAGUCGAACGAAGCAUACGGACUGGAGAUUCGUCGAAGGACUGUAUGACUUAGUGGCGGACGGGUGAGUAAUGUAUGAGCAACCUGCCUUUCAGAGGGGGACAACAGUUGGAAACGACUGCUAAUACCGCGUAACGUAUCGUGGGGGCAUCCUCGUGAUACCAAAGGAGCAAUCCGCUGAAAGAUGGGCUCAUAUCUGAUUAGCUUGUUGGCGGGGUAACGGCCCACCAAGGCGACGAUCAGUAGCCGGACUGAGAGGUUGAACGGCCACAUUGGGACUGAGAUACGGCCCAGACUCCUACGGGAGGCAGCAGUGGGGAAUAUUGGGCAAUGGGCGAAAGCCUGAACCCCAGCAACGCCGCGUGAAGGAAGAAGGUCUUCGGAUUGUAAACUUCUUUUAUGAGGGACGAAGGACGUGACGGUACCUCAUGAAUAAGCCACGGCUAACUACGUGCCAGCAGCCGC